AUUGAACGCUGGCGGCAGGCCUAACACAUGCAAGUCGAACGGUAACAGGAAGAAGCUUGCUUCUUUGCUGACGAGUGGCGGACGGGUGAGUAAUGUCUGGGAAACUGCCUGAUGGAGGGGGAUAACUACUGGAAACGGUAGCUAAUACCGCAUAACGUCGCAAGCCCAAAGAGGGGGACCUUCGGGCCUCUUGCCAUCGGAUGUGCCCAGAUGGGAUUAGCUAGUAGGUGGGGUAACGGCUCACCUAGGCGACGAUCCCUAGCUGGUCUGAGAGGAUGACCAGCCACACGGGAACUGAGACACGGUCCAGACUCCUACGGGAGGCAGCAGUGGGGAAUAUUGCACAAUGGGCGCAAGCCUGAUGCAGCCAUGCCGCGUGUAUGAAGAAGGCCUUCGGGUUGUAAAGUACUUUCAGCGGGGAGGAAGGGAGUAAAGUUAAUACCUUGACUCAUUGACGUUACCCGCAGAAGAAGCACCGGCUAACUCCGUG
RNAcentral lists this ribosomal RNA (490 nucleotides) under uncultured bacterium. RNAcentral describes it as "partial 16S ribosomal RNA". It matches the Rfam family "Bacterial small subunit ribosomal RNA", at positions 30 to 507 of the family's 1533-position model. The record is from RNAcentral.